This 18-nucleotide small nuclear RNA is filed under the name Arabidopsis thaliana (thale cress). RNAcentral describes it as "snRNA_00840". Lineage: Eukaryota; Viridiplantae; Streptophyta; Magnoliopsida; Brassicales; Brassicaceae. The record is from RNAcentral.
GCCUAUCGAUCCUUUAGA